ACAAAAUUGUAUGAUGAAGAAUUUAAGUGAUCCAUCGACAGAGUUUAUUAAAACUAUGUUGACAGUCAUUUCUCUGACAAUA
This is a small nucleolar RNA of Acipenser ruthenus (sterlet), 82 nucleotides long. RefSeq annotates it as small nucleolar RNA SNORD71. The record is from RefSeq and is a predicted model, not a curated record. Lineage: Eukaryota; Metazoa; Chordata; Actinopteri; Acipenseriformes; Acipenseridae. The transcript has a single exon.